RNAcentral lists this ribosomal RNA (375 nucleotides) under uncultured bacterium. RNAcentral's name for it is "bacterial SSU rRNA". It matches the Rfam family "Bacterial small subunit ribosomal RNA", at positions 524 to 898 of the family's 1533-position model. The record is from RNAcentral.
CACGGGGGUUGCGAGCGUUGUCCGGAAUUACUAGGCGUAAAGGGCAGGUAGGCGGAUAGAUAAGUUUGAUGUUAAAGGCGACGGCUUACCCGUCGUAAGGCAUUAGAUACUGUUUAUCUGGAAUGCGGUAGGGGAAGACAGAAUUCCUGGUGUAGCGGUGGAAUGCGCAGAGAUCAGGAGGAAUACCGAAGGCGAAGGCAGUCUUCUAAGCCGUAAUUGACGCUAAACUGCGAAGGUGUGGGUAUCAAACAGGAUUAGAUACCCUGGUAGUCCACACAGUAAACGAUAAUCACUAGGUGUCGGGUUCGAAGAGGAUUCGGUGCCGUAGCUAACGCGCUAAGUGAUUCGCCUGGGGAGUACGAUCGCAAGGUUGAA